This 748-nucleotide ribosomal RNA is filed under the name uncultured soil archaeon. Its description in RNAcentral is "bacterial SSU rRNA". It matches the Rfam family "Archaeal small subunit ribosomal RNA", at positions 4 to 760 of the family's 1478-position model. The record is from RNAcentral.
CUGGUUGAUCCUGCCAGACCCGACUGCUAUCAGAGUGAGAUUAAGCCAUGCGAGUCAACGUAGAAAUACGUGGCAAACGGCUCAGUAACACGUAGUCAACAUGCCCAGGGGACGUGGCUAACCUCGGGAAACUGAGGAUAAACCGCGAUAGGCCAUGAUUUCUGGAAUGGUUCAUGGCCGAAAUCUAUAUGGCCCCUGGAUUGGACUGCGGCCGAUCAGGCUGUUGGUGUGGUAAUGGCCCACCAAACCUGUAACCGGUACGGGCUCUGAGAGGAGGAGCCCGGAGAUGGGCACUGAGACAAGGGCCCAGGCCCUAUGGGGCGCAGCAGGCGCGAAAUCUCUGCAAUAGGCGAAAGCUUGACAGGGUUACUCUGAGUGAUUCCCGCUAAGGGGAUCUUUUGGCACCUUUAAAAAUGGUGCAGAAUAAGGGGUGGGCAAGUCUGGUGUCAGCCGCCGCGGUAAUACCAGCACCCCGAGUGGUCGGGACGAUUAUUGGGCCUAAAGCAUCCGUAGCCGGUACUGCGAGUCUUCCGUUAAAUCCACCUGCUUAACAGUUGGGCUGCGGGGGAUACUACAGCGCUAGGAGGCGGGAGAGGCAAGCGGUACACAAUGGGUAGGGGUAAAAUCCGCUGAUCCAUUGAAGACCACCAGUGGCGAAGGCGGCUUGCCAGAACGCGCUCGACGGUGAGGGAUGAAAGCUGGGGGAGCAAACCGGAUUAGAUACCCGGGUAGUCCCAGCUGUAAACGA